GACGAACGCUGGCGGCGUGCUUAAUACAUGCAGGGUCAACUGAGCUUAAAAUAGCAAUAUUUUAAGUGCGGUGGCGCACGGGUGAGUAACACGUAGGUAAUCUGCCUUUAGGUCUGACAUAAUCCCGCGAAAGCGGGACUAAAAUCAGAUGAUGCAGCGGCUCGACAUCGAGACAGUUGUUAAACCUUCGGGCCUAAAGAUGAGCCUGCGUCUGANAGGUAGUUGGCGGAGUAAAAGCCCACCAAGCCUGCGAUCAGUAGCUGGGUCUGAGAGGAUGGAUCAGCCACACUGGGAACUGAGACACGGUCCAGACUCCUACGGGAGCAGCAGUAAGG
Molecule: ribosomal RNA, 335 nt
Filed under: uncultured bacterium
Lineage: Bacteria
Description: bacterial SSU rRNA
Rfam family: Bacterial small subunit ribosomal RNA
Source: RNAcentral